Molecule: ribosomal RNA, 412 nt
Filed under: uncultured bacterium
Lineage: Bacteria
Description: bacterial SSU rRNA
Rfam family: Bacterial small subunit ribosomal RNA
Source: RNAcentral
AAUCAACGCUGGCGGCGUGCCUAACACAUGCAAGUCGAACGAGAAGGUGACUUCGGUCACUGGAUAGUGGCGUCCGGGUGAGUAACACGUAGGUAAUCUACCUUCGGGUGGGGAAUAACGUCUCGAAAGAGACGCUAAUACCGCAUAAUGCAGCGGCACCUAAUGGUGAUUAGUUGUUAAAGCGGGGGAGUCUUCGGACCUCGCGCCUGAAGAGGAGCCUGCGGCAGAUUAGCUAGUUGGUGAGGUAAUGGCUCACCAAGGCUUCGAUCUGUAGCUGGUCUGAGAGGACGGCCAGCCACACUGGCACUGACACACGGGCCAGACUCCUACGGGAGGCAGCAGUGGGGAAGUUUUGGGCAAUGGGCGAAAGCCUGACCCAGCAACGCCGCGUGAAGGAGGAAAUCCUUCGGGA